CUGGCAUGGUCACCACCCUCACUGUGCGGAGCACAGGAAUGGCACUGGCUGGCUCAGCAGUGACUGUGGAGGGUCCUGGGCUGCAGGGUGGGAGCUGAGGUGUUGUGGUGGGAUUUCAGUGAGACCAUAAGCUUGGCCUUGCUAUAGAGGAAAUGUUGAAUUGUAGACAUUAGAUAAAUCAGUUACGACUACUGCUGUGUCCUAUGAGUCUCACAGGAAUUUUCUGGAGGCUUACUCUAGGACUGGGUACUGACCCAUUCAACAGGCUCAUUGAUUUCUCUAAAAGGGACAGAGGUGACACGCAAAUCAUAUGUGUAAAUGGCUUGAAAGGAAAUUCGGAGAAUAUUUGUAACCUAGAUUUAACCUAAAGCAAAUUUCUGGAGCUACAUCAAAAGGGUCUAAUUUAUUGCCUCAUCUCCCCUUCCCCAUGAACCAACCUCCCUCCCCAAUCCCACUAAGGAGGAGGUGAGAGAGACAGGCAGCCCUAAGAGUCUCAGGAAACGCUGGGUACCCAAUGGGGGUUGGAAGGGGCGGCACAGAGGGAGACAGAAGCUGACCAGGCCAGGUACAGGGCCAGAGGAGCAUACAUGUUCAAGGCUAGCAAGAUCUGGGGAGCUGGAGGGAAGAGGAGCCCCUGGAAAGGGAAGCUGGGUUGGUCACUGCACUCAGAAGAUGCCCCAUGUUUACCAGGACAGACUUGUCCAGCGUCCCCUUGUAUAGGACAGAGUAGAGAACAUCCAAACUCAGGCUGGGCUGACUAACACUUCUAUAAUUUUAUCCCAAUUCCCUUUCACUACAUGUCAGAAGGACACUCAAGGAUGGUGUCACAGAAGCACAAAGUCACACAGGAGGCAAGGUGUUGAGAGCCUGGAAAGGAUGAGCCCCUAAAGGACUCCAGAGGAUGAUGGCUGCCCAAACCAGGAAGUAGCUCUCACCAGGUACUGGAUAUGUGGACCUUGGAUUUCUUCAGUUCUCAAAGCUGAGAAAAAAAUUCCAGUUGUUCUGAAGCCUCUCAGCCCAUGGUGCCUUAUUAUAGUAGUUUGAGUGAGCCAGACAUUGUGUCUUGUGGAGAUUCACCCACAUUCCUCAGCCUUAUAAGGUGUCAUGGCUGUUCAUCGUUCCACUACAAGUUGUUUUAUAAUUUA
Molecule: non-coding RNA, 1145 nt
Organism: Cricetulus griseus (Chinese hamster)
Lineage: Eukaryota; Metazoa; Chordata; Mammalia; Rodentia; Cricetidae
Source: RefSeq, a predicted model, not a curated record